Aquila chrysaetos chrysaetos is the source of this 433-nucleotide long non-coding RNA. RefSeq lists it as uncharacterized. NCBI's taxonomy places the organism in Eukaryota, Metazoa, Chordata, Aves, Accipitriformes, Accipitridae. The transcript has 3 exons. The record is from RefSeq and is a predicted model, not a curated record.
CUACGACCCAGAGAUCAAUGCGAAGUAUUGUAUUUCUCCGUGGUGUUGCUGGUGGUACGUUCUGCCCCUGUAGCUCUCUGCAGGUUUUGCCAUUUGAAAAGGAGCUCAGUACAGCGUCCGCCUUCCCCUCCCUUUGUGCAGUGCUGAGCACACAGAGCCUGGGCAGGCUGAUGGUGUAGAGUAAAACCUGCAAGUAUAUUGGUGAUCCUGAGCCCGGCUGUACCUGGGGAUGCAGCUAAACCCACUCAAAAGUAAUUUCUGAUAUACGAACAGUGUGCCACGGCUAACUAAACACGAAGGGAGAAACCUGAUUUUGCAAUGUUCCGUGCAAACAGAAGUACGGUGGUGAUGGACUGGGAGUCUACGGCACAGGAUGAUAAAUACUUCAGCAUGACUCCACGUGUGCUUCUGGGAGAUUUCUGAGGUUGAAAUC